UACGUAGGCAGCGAGCGUUGUUCGGAGUUACUGGGCGUAAAGCGUGCGUAGGCGGUGGUCCAAGUCUGGUGUGAAAUCUCCCGGCUCAACUGGGAGGGUGCGCCGGAAACUGGGCCGCUGGAGUGCGGGAGAGGCAAGCGGAAUUCCAGGUGUAGCGGUGAAAUGCGUAGAUAUCUGGAGGAACACCCGUGGUGCAGACGGCUUGCUGGACCGUGACUGACGCUGAGGCACGAAAGCGUGGGUAGCAAACAGG
This 253-nucleotide ribosomal RNA is filed under the name uncultured bacterium. RNAcentral describes it as "partial 16S ribosomal RNA". It matches the Rfam family "Bacterial small subunit ribosomal RNA", at positions 524 to 776 of the family's 1533-position model. The record is from RNAcentral.